Molecule: ribosomal RNA, 253 nt
Filed under: uncultured bacterium
Lineage: Bacteria
Description: partial 16S ribosomal RNA
Rfam family: Bacterial small subunit ribosomal RNA
Source: RNAcentral
UACGUAGGCAGCAAGCGUUGUUCGGAAUUACUGGGCGUAAAGAGUGUGUAGGCGGUGCUCUAAGUUCGGUGUGAAAUCUCCUGGCUCAACUGGGAGGGUGCGCCGGAAACUGUUGAGCUAGAGUCCGGAAGAGGCGAGUGGAAUUCCUGGUGUAGCGGUGAAAUGCGCAGAUAUCAGGAGGAACACCAAUGGCGAAGGCAGCUCGCUGGGACGGUACUGACGCUGAGACGCGAAAGCGUGGGGAGCAAACAGG